CCCUAGCGGCGAACGGUCGCGUAACACGUAAGCAACCUGCCCGAAAGACCGGGACAACGUUUCGAAAGGAACGCUAAUACCGGAUGUGACCGUCUUUUUGCCUAGAGGGACGAUUAAAGCGCGAAAGUGGCUUUCGGAGGGGCUUGCGGCCUAUCAGCUAGAUGGCGGGGUAACGGCCCACCAUGGCGACGACGGGUAGCUGGUCUGAGAGGAUGGUCAGCCGGACUGGGACUGAGAUACGGCCCAG
This 247-nucleotide ribosomal RNA is filed under the name uncultured bacterium. RNAcentral's name for it is "partial 16S ribosomal RNA". It matches the Rfam family "Bacterial small subunit ribosomal RNA", at positions 90 to 334 of the family's 1533-position model. The record is from RNAcentral.